Molecule: ribosomal RNA, 1305 nt
Filed under: Bacillus siamensis
Lineage: Bacteria; Bacillati; Bacillota; Bacilli; Caryophanales; Bacillaceae
Description: bacterial SSU rRNA
Rfam family: Bacterial small subunit ribosomal RNA
Source: RNAcentral
UGGGAGCUUGCUCCCUGAUGUUAGCGGCGGACGGGUGAGUAACACGUGGGUAACCUGCCUGUAAGACUGGGAUAACUCCGGGAAACCGGGGCUAAUACCGGAUGGUUGUCUGAACCGCAUGGUUCAGACAUAAAAGGUGGCUUCGGCUACCACUUACAGAUGGACCCGCGGCGCAUUAGCUAGUUGGUGAGGUAACGGCUCACCAAGGCGACGAUGCGUAGCCGACCUGAGAGGGUGAUCGGCCACACUGGGACUGAGACACGGCCCAGACUCCUACGGGAGGCAGCAGUAGGGAAUCUUCCGCAAUGGACGAAAGUCUGACGGAGCAACGCCGCGUGAGUGAUGAAGGUUUUCGGAUCGUAAAGCUCUGUUGUUAGGGAAGAACAAGUGCCGUUCAAAUAGGGCGGCACCUUGACGGUACCUAACCAGAAAGCCACGGCUAACUACGUGCCAGCAGCCGCGGUAAUACGUAGGUGGCAAGCGUUGUCCGGAAUUAUUGGGCGUAAAGGGCUCGCAGGCGGUUUCUUAAGUCUGAUGUGAAAGCCCCCGGCUCAACCGGGGAGGGUCAUUGGAAACUGGGGAACUUGAGUGCAGAAGAGGAGAGUGGAAUUCCACGUGUAGCGGUGAAAUGCGUAGAGAUGUGGAGGAACACCAGUGGCGAAGGCGACUCUCUGGUCUGUAACUGACGCUGAGGAGCGAAAGCGUGGGGAGCGAACAGGAUUAGAUACCCUGGUAGUCCACGCCGUAAACGAUGAGUGCUAAGUGUUAGGGGGUUUCCGCCCCUUAGUGCUGCAGCUAACGCAGUAAGCACUCCGCCUGGGGAGUACGGUCGCAAGACUGAAACUCAAAGGAAUUGACGGGGGCCCGCACAAGCGGUGGAGCAUGUGGUUUAAUUCGAAGCAACGCGAAGAACCUUACCAGGUCUUGACAUCCUCUGACAAUCCUAGAGAUAGGACGUCCCCUUCGGGGGCAGAGUGACAGGUGGUGCAUGGUUGUCGUCAGCUCGUGUCGUGAGAUGUUGGGUUAAGUCCCGCAACGAGCGCAACCCUUGAUCUUAGUUGCCAGCAUUCAGUUGGGCACUCUAAGGUGACUGCCGGUGACAAACCGGAGGAAGGUGGGGAUGACGUCAAAUCAUCAUGCCCCUUAUGACCUGGGCUACACACGUGCUACAAUGGACAGAACAAAGGGCAGCGAAACCGCGAGGUUAAGCCAAUCCCACAAAUCUGUUCUCAGUUCGGAUCGCAGUCUGCAACUCGACUGCGUGAAGCUGGAAUCGCUAGUAAUCGCGGAUCAGCAUGCCGCGGU